UACAGAGGGUGCAAGCGUUGCUCGGAUUGACUGGGCGUAAAGGGCGCGUAGGCGGUUCGUACAGUCAGACGUGAAAUUCCUGGGCUCAACCUGGGGGCUGCGUUUGAUACGUGCGGACUUGAGUGCGGAAGAGGGUCGUGGAAUUCCCAGUGUAGAGGUGAAAUUCGUAGAUAUUGGGAAGAACACCGGUGGCGAAGGCGGCGACCUGGUCCGAUACUGACGCUGAGGCGCGAAAGCGUGGGGAGCAAACAGG
This 253-nucleotide ribosomal RNA is filed under the name uncultured bacterium. RNAcentral describes it as "partial 16S ribosomal RNA". It matches the Rfam family "Bacterial small subunit ribosomal RNA", at positions 524 to 776 of the family's 1533-position model. The record is from RNAcentral.